CUUGUACUCCCUCCGUCCGAAAAUACUUGUCAUUGAAAUUGAUGUAUCUAGAUGUAUUUUAGUUCUAGACACAUCCAUUUUGAUGACAAGUAAUUUCGGACAUAGGGAGUACUUG
This is a non-coding RNA of Triticum urartu, 115 nucleotides long. The record is from Rfam. NCBI's taxonomy places the organism in Eukaryota, Viridiplantae, Streptophyta, Magnoliopsida, Poales, Poaceae.